RNAcentral lists this ribosomal RNA (526 nucleotides) under Sisyra vicaria. Its description in RNAcentral is "partial 16S ribosomal RNA". It matches the Rfam family "Bacterial large subunit ribosomal RNA", at positions 1801 to 2596 of the family's 2925-position model. Lineage: Eukaryota; Metazoa; Arthropoda; Insecta; Neuroptera; Sisyridae. The record is from RNAcentral.
UGUUCACCAAAAACAUGUCUUUUUGAAUAUAAUUUAAAGUCAGGCCUGCCCACUGAAAAUUUUAAAGGGCCGCGGUAUUUUGACUGUGCAAAGGUAGCAUAAUCAUUUGUCUUUUAAUUGAAGGCUAGAAUGAAUGGUUUGAUGAAGUAUUAACUGUCUCAAUUUAAUAAAAAUAAAAAUUUAAUUUUUAAGUUAAAAAGCUUAAAUAUAUUUAAAAGACGAGAAGACCCUAUAGAUCUUUAUUAUUAUAAAUAAUAUAAUAUUAAGUAUAAAAUUUAUUUUAUUAUGACUAAUAAUUUUAUUGGGGUGAUAGGAAAAUUUAAUAAACUUUUUUUAUUUUAAACCAUAAAUUUAUGAAUAAUUGAUCCAUUUUUUAUGAUUAUAAGAUUAAGUUACCUUAGGGAUAACAGCAUAAUUAUUUUAGAGAGUUCUUAUCGAUAAAAUAGAUUGUGACCUCGAUGUUGAAUUAAAGAUUAUUUUUAGGUGUAGAAGUUUAAAAUAUAGGUCUGUUCGACCUUUAAAUCUU